RNAcentral lists this ribosomal RNA (855 nucleotides) under Triticum aestivum (bread wheat). Its description in RNAcentral is "partial small subunit ribosomal RNA". The record is from RNAcentral. Lineage: Eukaryota; Viridiplantae; Streptophyta; Magnoliopsida; Poales; Poaceae.
AUGCUGCUGCAGCAGCAGCAGGGGGACGAAGAGGGACAUGAUGAGCCGCAGCAGCAACAGGGGGAGGAAGAGGGGCAGGACGACCAGCAGCAAGGAGAAGAGGAGGAGCAGGAGGAGGGGGCGGUGGAGGAUGUGGAAAUGGACGAUGCGGGGGAGGUGGUCGCCGGAGAUAUCGAUGCUGGAGGCAAUGGUGACCCUGAAGAAGGGCAAGAAGAAAGCGAAGGCUUCGACCCCAACUCGGAGGUGGGUCAACCUAAUGGAGUUGAAGAAAGGAAGAGAGAGUUGACUGACAAGCUGGAUACCUUAAGUAAGAAAAAGCAUGAUCUUGUGCAGAUGCUGAAGCAGAUUUUAAAUGCCGAAGAGGAAAUCAGAACACGCAUGCAGGCUUCACUGUGUGCUGCCAUGCCUCAGCCGCCAGAAAACACAGCUGAUGGAAGUGUUCCUAGACAGGUGCCCAGAAUGACCGUUGAUGUCAAUUUCAGUGAGUUUGCUGGGGAGUCAGAUGCUGGUUCCAACCAGGGCACUCCUGGGCGCCCCUUGCAUCAUGUUCACAGUAUUUCCCCUUCAACAGCCUCUUUUGCUAGGUCUCCAUUCGGUUCUCGCAACCACAACCCUGGCAACACUCCGAGAAGUCCAGCACCUUUCUCUACAGCAAGCCCAUCUCGCUUCGCAGGUACUGGGCAUCAAGGACACCACCCCUCAGCAUCAUUUACCAGCAGGCAACUUUGUAGCAUCGUCGCCUUCCCCUGCUGCAUCCGGUGGCUCUUCCUCUGUAUUCAUGGACUAUCGCUCGCCCAGUUCAACAUAAUUCCACAAAACCCGAAUGGAGGCUACAAUGUACAUGAGUCGCCGUGA